This 1392-nucleotide ribosomal RNA is filed under the name uncultured Verrucomicrobiota bacterium. RNAcentral's name for it is "uncultured Verrucomicrobia bacterium 16S ribosomal RNA". It matches the Rfam family "Bacterial small subunit ribosomal RNA", at positions 93 to 1461 of the family's 1533-position model. Lineage: Bacteria; Pseudomonadati; Verrucomicrobiota. The record is from RNAcentral.
GAGUGGCGUAAGGGCGAGGAAUACAUGGGCAAUCUGCCUCUAAAAUUGGGAUAACCCUUCGAAAGGAGGGCUAAUACCGAAUGUGGUCGGUCCGGGCAUCCGGACUUAUCCAAAGACGGGGAUCGCAAGACCUGUCGUUUAGAGAUGAGCUCAUGUCCUAUCAGCUUGUUGGUGAGGUAACGGCCCACCAAGGCGAAGACGGGUAGCUGGUCUGAGAGGAUGGUCAGCCGCACUGGGACUGAGACACUGCCCAGACUCCUACGGGAGGCUGCAGUCGAGGAUCUUGGACAAUGAACGAAAGUUUGAUCCAGCGACGUCGCGUGGAGGAUGAAGGCCUUCGGGUUGUAAACUCCUGUCGUGAGGGAACAAUAUGUUCAGGGAUAAUACCCCUGGAAAUUGAUAGUACCUCAGGAGGAAGCCACGGCUAACUCUGUGCCAGCAGCCGCGGUAAUACAGAGGUGGCAAGCGUUGUUCGGAUUUACUGGGCGUAAAGGGUGCGUAGACGGUCAGGUGUGUCGGGUGUGAAAUCCCACGGUUCAUCCGUGGAACUGCAUUCGAAACUACUUGGCUAGAGUGCAGGAGAGGAGAGCGGAAUUCUUGGUGUAGCAGUGAAAUGCGUGGAUAUCAAGAGGAACACCGGUGGCGAAGGCGGCUCUCUGGACUGCGACUGACGCUGAGGCACGAAAGCUGGGGGAGCAAACAGGAUUAGAUACCCUGGUAGUCCCAGCUGUAAACGUUGUACACUUGGUGUAGGCGGAUUGUCCCCGUCUGUGCCGAAGCAAACGCGAUAAGUGUACCGCCUGGGGAGUACGGUCGCAAGACUAAAACUCAAAGAAAUUGACGGGGGCCCGCACAAGCGGUGGAGCAUGUGGCUUAAUUCGAUGCAACGCGAAGAACCUUACCAAGACUUGACAUACUGGUAGUAGAAGCUUGAAAGAGUAACGAUCUCGCAAGAGAAGCCAGAACAGGUGCUGCAUGGCUGUCGUCAGCUCGUGCCGUGAGGUGUUGGGUUAAGUCCCGCAACGAGCGCAACCCCUGUGAUUAGUUGCCACUCCGCAAGGAAGCACUCUAAUCAGACUGCCUGUGAUAAGCAGGAGGAAGGUGGGGAUGACGUCAAGUCAGUAUGGUCCUUAUGUCUUGGGCUGCACACGUGCUACAAUGGUCGGUACAGAAGGAUGCCAAACCGCGAGGUGGAGCAGAUCCCUAAAACCGGCCUCAGUUCAGAUUGAAGUCUGCAACUCGACUUCAUGAAGCUGGAAUCGCUAGUAAAGGCGUAUCAGCUACGACGCCUUGAAUACGUUCCCGGGCCUUGUACACACCGCCCGUCACAUCACGAAAGUCGGUUGCACCCGAGAUCGCUGAUCUAACCCGCAAGGGGAGUAGGCGCCUAAG